This 308-nucleotide ribosomal RNA is filed under the name uncultured bacterium. RNAcentral's name for it is "partial 16S ribosomal RNA". It matches the Rfam family "Bacterial small subunit ribosomal RNA", at positions 505 to 807 of the family's 1533-position model. The record is from RNAcentral.
GAGACAGCAGUCGCCACGGUAAUACGAAGGGUGCAAGCGUUAAUCGGAAUUACUGGGCGUAAAGCGUGCGUAGGCGGUUUGUUAAGUCUGCUGUGAAAUCCCCGGGCUCAACCUGGGAAUGGCAGUGGAUACUGGCAAGCUAGAGUGUGUCAGAGGAUGGUGGAAUUCCCGGUGUAGCGGUGAAAUGCGUAGAGAUCGGGAGGAACAUCAGUGGCGAAGGCGGCCAUCUGGGACAACACUGACGCUGAGGCACGAAAGCGUGGGGAGCAAACAGGAUUAGAUACCCCCGUAGUCCCUGUCUCUUAUAC